GGGUCUCAGAAGGCAGUGCUCUUGGGGAGUCUCCACCAUGGCCUGGGCUCUGCUCCUCGUCACCCUCCUCACUCAGGGCACAGGGUCCUGGGCCCAGUCUGCACUGACUCAGCCUCCCUCAGUGUCCGGGACUCCUGGACAGACUGUCACCAUCUCCUGCACUGGAAGCAGCAGUAGCUAUAUCUCCUGGUACCAACAUCACCCGGGCUCAGUCCCUAAACUCCUGAUUUAUGCUGUCAGUUCUCGGCCCUCAGGGGUCCCUGAUCGCUUCUCUGGCUCCAAUUCUGGCAACACAGCCACCCUGACCAUCUCUGGGCUCCAGGCUGAAGAUGAGGCCGAUUACUACUGUAGCUCAUAUAUAGGCAGUUACACUGUCCACAGUGGUUCAAGUUCAUGGGGAAGUGAGACCAAAACCUCCUUUGAGCUCACGCCAACCCCUCACCCCUAA
This is a non-coding RNA of Ceratotherium simum simum (southern white rhinoceros), 448 nucleotides long. The record is from the annotation of a RefSeq genome assembly. NCBI's taxonomy places the organism in Eukaryota, Metazoa, Chordata, Mammalia, Perissodactyla, Rhinocerotidae.